GGUUAAGCUACUAAGGGCGCACGGGGGAUGCCUUGGCGUCAAGAGCCGAAGAAGGACGUGUAGCGCUGCGAAAAGCUGCGGGGAAUUGCGCUAGAGUGUUGAUCCGCAGAUGUCCGAAUGGGGAAACCCGGCCUGGGGAAUGCCAGGUCAGCCACGGUUGAACACAUAGGCCGUGAGCGGGGAACUCGGGGAACUGAAACAUCUAAGUACCCGGAGGAAAAGAGAAUAUUCCGUAAGUAGUGGCGAGCGAAAGCGGAGGAGCCCAAACCGAAGUUGUUUCGGCAAGUUCGGGGUUGUAGGACCGACAGAAGGUUUGUUAGCGAUAGCGGAAGGGCACUGGAAAGGCCAACCGAAGAGGGUGAGAGUCCCGUAGGCGAAGUUGCGAACAAACUGGUCGGGAUCCUGAGUACUACGGAGCACGCUAACUCUGUGGGAAGCUGGGAGGCCCACCUUCCAAGGCUAAAUACUCUUGACGACCGAUAGUGAACAAGU
RNAcentral lists this ribosomal RNA (492 nucleotides) under Planctomycetaceae bacterium. Its description in RNAcentral is "partial 23S ribosomal RNA". It matches the Rfam family "Bacterial large subunit ribosomal RNA", at positions 1 to 499 of the family's 2925-position model. Lineage: Bacteria; Pseudomonadati; Planctomycetota; Planctomycetia; Planctomycetales; Planctomycetaceae. The record is from RNAcentral.